Sinocyclocheilus grahami is the source of this 252-nucleotide long non-coding RNA. RefSeq lists it as uncharacterized. NCBI's taxonomy places the organism in Eukaryota, Metazoa, Chordata, Actinopteri, Cypriniformes, Cyprinidae. The transcript is spliced from 3 exons. The record is from RefSeq and is a predicted model, not a curated record.
CACCAUCGCACCUUCCGAAAAUGAAGCGGAUUACUGUAUGGAAUGGAAGGAUGCCAGAUGGAAGGAAAAACUCCUUCAGGAUUGGUGCAGCUACUACUGCAGCUCCGAAAUUGCCUUCUGCUACUCUGAAGGAAAUGGGACGGUGGUCAUCAUCAGCCUACGAAGGUGCUGUGUUUUGACUGAGGAGGGGUUUUUCUUCUUUACCAUGUAUUGUCAGUGUCAACAACUAUCGUGGUCCAUUAAACAAUUAUU